AUAGAACAAAAGAAGUAUGACUCUCCUCUUCGUGCGGCGGCGUGACGGUGACCUCUGCGUUUCUUCUCAUGACCUGAAACAGUAUGGUUUAUGUCUUCCUCUUUAAUCCCAUUAAUUCGCUCUUCCACGAUGUGUUUUCAAAGCAUUCUUCGAUCUGAAAGGCGGUGUGGUUAAGGUAUAAAUACAUGUGAGAUUCAUCCUCUCGCACUCAUCUUCUCUUCGUAUCUUAUAAAAAAAUACAUUCGAUUCAAAAUGAUCAAGCCUUCUAUUCUGGCUGACCGUCUUCUUCCUGUUGUUGUUCUACGGCUGAAGCAGAGAGGUAUAUGGGGAAGAAGAGGAAGCGAGAGAACAAAGGUCAAUUACUUCCCAUCGGGAAUGACCCGGUUCAUCAUGCUGAGAAGUAUCCAACUCCACCUGCAGUCUACUCUGGGAAACAUGGAUCUGUUAUCAUAUUAAACAUGUAACCUAGAAUUAGCUCAACAAAAAAUUGUAUGUGAAAAAACAUGUCUGUUUCUUUAGAUUAAGGGGUGUUAUUCAAUUAAGAAUUCAAUGUAACUGUAGUUAGGAGUCUUUCAGUGGAUUUGAUUGGAUUCAUGGAAAAGAAAUUCAGUUCCAAACGUUUAAGUUUAA
Long non-coding RNA from Brassica oleracea var. oleracea, 630 nucleotides. RefSeq lists it as uncharacterized. NCBI's taxonomy places the organism in Eukaryota, Viridiplantae, Streptophyta, Magnoliopsida, Brassicales, Brassicaceae. The record is from RefSeq and is a predicted model, not a curated record. The transcript is spliced from 3 exons.